RNAcentral lists this ribosomal RNA (253 nucleotides) under uncultured bacterium. RNAcentral describes it as "partial 16S ribosomal RNA". It matches the Rfam family "Bacterial small subunit ribosomal RNA", at positions 524 to 776 of the family's 1533-position model. The record is from RNAcentral.
UACGUAGGUGGCAAGCGUUGUCCGGAUUUACUGGGCGUAAAGAGCGCGCAGGCGGUCGAUCAAGUCGCGUGUGAAAGCCCCCGGCUCAACUGGGGAGGGUCACGCGAUACUGAUCGACUCGAAGGCAGGAGAGGGUAGUGGAAUUCCCGGUGUAGUGGUGAAAUGCGUAGAUAUCAGGAGGAACACCGGUGGCGAAGGCGGAUCUCUGGGCCUUACCUGACGCUGAGGCGCGAAAGCUAGGGGAGCGAACAGG